UGGCCAUCAUGAACAUGUCACAGUGCUG
Molecule: non-coding RNA, 28 nt
Filed under: Homo sapiens (human)
Lineage: Eukaryota; Metazoa; Chordata; Mammalia; Primates; Hominidae
Source: RNAcentral